GAUGAACGCUGGCGGCGUGCCUAAUACAUGCAAGUCGAGCGAACGGACGAGAAGCUUUCUUCUCUGAUGUUAGCGGCGGACGUGUGAGUAACCCGUGGAUAACCUACCUAUAAGACUGUGAUAACUUCGGGAAACCUUAGCUACUACCGGAUAAUAUUUUGAACCGCAUGGUUCAAUAGUGAAAUACUUUUUUGCUGUCACUUUUAGAUGUAUCCGCUCUGCAUUAUCUAGUUGGUAAGGUAACUGCUUACCAAGGCAACGAUGCCUAGCCGACCUGAGAGGGUGAUCGGCGACACUGGAAGUGAGACACGGUCCAGACUACGACGGGAGGCAGCAGUAGGGAAUCUUGCGCAAUGGGAGAAAGCCUGACGGAGCAACGCCGCGUGAGUGAUGAAGGUCUUCGGAUCGUAAAACUCUGUUAUUAGGGAAGAACAAAUGUGGAAGUAACUGUGCACAUCUUGAAGGUACAUAAUCAGAAAGCCACGGCUAACUACGUG
RNAcentral lists this ribosomal RNA (497 nucleotides) under uncultured bacterium. RNAcentral's name for it is "partial 16S ribosomal RNA". It matches the Rfam family "Bacterial small subunit ribosomal RNA", at positions 28 to 507 of the family's 1533-position model. The record is from RNAcentral.